This 1534-nucleotide ribosomal RNA is filed under the name Salmonella enterica subsp. enterica serovar Schwarzengrund str. CVM19633. RNAcentral describes it as "bacterial SSU rRNA". It matches the Rfam family "Bacterial small subunit ribosomal RNA". Lineage: Bacteria; Pseudomonadati; Pseudomonadota; Gammaproteobacteria; Enterobacterales; Enterobacteriaceae. The record is from RNAcentral.
AGAGUUUGAUCAUGGCUCAGAUUGAACGCUGGCGGCAGGCCUAACACAUGCAAGUCGAACGGUAACAGGAAGCAGCUUGCUGCUUUGCUGACGAGUGGCGGACGGGUGAGUAAUGUCUGGGAAACUGCCUGAUGGAGGGGGAUAACUACUGGAAACGGUGGCUAAUACCGCAUAACGUCGCAAGACCAAAGAGGGGGACCUUCGGGCCUCUUGCCAUCAGAUGUGCCCAGAUGGGAUUAGCUUGUUGGUGAGGUAACGGCUCACCAAGGCGACGAUCCCUAGCUGGUCUGAGAGGAUGACCAGCCACACUGGAACUGAGACACGGUCCAGACUCCUACGGGAGGCAGCAGUGGGGAAUAUUGCACAAUGGGCGCAAGCCUGAUGCAGCCAUGCCGCGUGUAUGAAGAAGGCCUUCGGGUUGUAAAGUACUUUCAGCGGGGAGGAAGGUGUUGUGGUUAAUAACCGCAGCAAUUGACGUUACCCGCAGAAGAAGCACCGGCUAACUCCGUGCCAGCAGCCGCGGUAAUACGGAGGGUGCAAGCGUUAAUCGGAAUUACUGGGCGUAAAGCGCACGCAGGCGGUCUGUCAAGUCGGAUGUGAAAUCCCCGGGCUCAACCUGGGAACUGCAUUCGAAACUGGCAGGCUUGAGUCUUGUAGAGGGGGGUAGAAUUCCAGGUGUAGCGGUGAAAUGCGUAGAGAUCUGGAGGAAUACCGGUGGCGAAGGCGGCCCCCUGGACAAAGACUGACGCUCAGGUGCGAAAGCGUGGGGAGCAAACAGGAUUAGAUACCCUGGUAGUCCACGCCGUAAACGAUGUCUACUUGGAGGUUGUGCCCUUGAGGCGUGGCUUCCGGAGCUAACGCGUUAAGUAGACCGCCUGGGGAGUACGGCCGCAAGGUUAAAACUCAAAUGAAUUGACGGGGGCCCGCACAAGCGGUGGAGCAUGUGGUUUAAUUCGAUGCAACGCGAAGAACCUUACCUGGUCUUGACAUCCACAGAACUUUCCAGAGAUGGAUUGGUGCCUUCGGGAACUGUGAGACAGGUGCUGCAUGGCUGUCGUCAGCUCGUGUUGUGAAAUGUUGGGUUAAGUCCCGCAACGAGCGCAACCCUUAUCCUUUGUUGCCAGCGAUUAGGUCGGGAACUCAAAGGAGACUGCCAGUGAUAAACUGGAGGAAGGUGGGGAUGACGUCAAGUCAUCAUGGCCCUUACGACCAGGGCUACACACGUGCUACAAUGGCGCAUACAAAGAGAAGCGACCUCGCGAGAGCAAGCGGACCUCAUAAAGUGCGUCGUAGUCCGGAUUGGAGUCUGCAACUCGACUCCAUGAAGUCGGAAUCGCUAGUAAUCGUGGAUCAGAAUGCCACGGUGAAUACGUUCCCGGGCCUUGUACACACCGCCCGUCACACCAUGGGAGUGGGUUGCAAAAGAAGUAGGUAGCUUAACCUUCGGGAGGGCGCUUACCACUUUGUGAUUCAUGACUGGGGUGAAGUCGUAACAAGGUAACCGUAGGGGAACCUGCGGUUGGAUCACCUCCUU